CCUACGGGCGGCAGCAGUCGAGAAUCAUUCACAAUGGGGGAAACCCUGGUGGUGCGACGCCGCGUGGGGGAAUGAAGGUCUUCGGAUUGUAAACCCCUGUCAUGUGGGAGCAAAUUAAAAAGAUAGUACCACAAGAGGAAGAGACGGCUAACUCUGUGCCAGCAGCCGCGGUAAUACAGAGGUCUCAAGCGUUGUUCGGAAUCACUGGGCGUAAAGCGUGCGUAGGCUGUUUCGUAAGUCGUGUGUGAAAGGCGCGGGCUCAACCCGCGGACGGCACAUGAUACUGCGAGACUAGAGUAAUGGAGGGGGAACCGGAAUUCUCGGUGUAGCAGUGAAAUGCGUAGAUAUCGAGAGGAACACUCGUGGCGAAGGCGGGUUCCUGGACAUUAACUGACGCUGAGGCACGAAGGCCAGGGGAGCGAAAGGGAUUAGAUACCCUAGUAGUC
Molecule: ribosomal RNA, 446 nt
Filed under: uncultured bacterium
Lineage: Bacteria
Description: partial 16S ribosomal RNA
Rfam family: Bacterial small subunit ribosomal RNA
Source: RNAcentral